CCUACGGGAUGCUGCAGUGGGGAAUAUUGGACAAUGGGCGAAAGCCUGAUCCAGCCAUGCCGCGUGUGUGAAGAAGGCCUUCGGGUUGUAAAGCACUUUCAGUGGGGAAGAAAGCCUUGGGGCUAAUACCCUCGAGGAAGGACAUCACCCACAGAAGAAGCACCGGCUAACUCCGUGCCAGCAGCCGCGGUAAUACGGAGGGUGCGAGCGUUAAUCGGAAUUACUGGGCGUAAAGCGCGCGUAGGCGGUCUGAUAAGCCGGUUGUGAAAGCCCCGGGCUCAACCUGGGAACGGCAUCCGGAACUGUCAGGCUAGAGUGCAGGAGAGGAAGGUAGAAUUCCCGGUGUAGCGGUGAAAUGCGUAGAGAUCGGGAGGAAUACCAGUGGCGAAGGCGGCCUUCUGGACUGACACUGACGCUGAGGUGCGAAAGCGUGGGUAGCAAACAGGAUUAGAUACCCGUGUAGUC
RNAcentral lists this ribosomal RNA (465 nucleotides) under Vreelandella stevensii. RNAcentral's name for it is "partial 16S ribosomal RNA". It matches the Rfam family "Bacterial small subunit ribosomal RNA", at positions 338 to 795 of the family's 1533-position model. Lineage: Bacteria; Pseudomonadati; Pseudomonadota; Gammaproteobacteria; Oceanospirillales; Halomonadaceae. The record is from RNAcentral.